AGUUCACUUCUUAGUAGCGAAGCUAACGCGUUAAGUUCUCCGCCUGGGGAGUACGGCCGCAAGGUUAAAACUCAAAGAAAUUGACGGGGGCCCGCACAAGCGGUGGAGCAUGUGGUUUAAUUCGAUGCAACGCGAAAAACCUUACCUACCCUUGACAUCCUCGGAACUUGUCAGAGAUGAUUUGGUGCCUUCGGGAACCGAGUGACAGGUGCUGCAUGGCUGUCGUCAGCUCGUGUCGUGAGAUGUUGGGUUAAGUCCCGUAACGAGCGCAACCCUCGUCCUUAGUUGCCAGCGAGUCAAGUCGGGAACUCUAAGGAGACUGCCGGUGAUAAACCGGAGGAAGGUGGGGAUGAUGUCAAGUCAUCAUGGCCCUUACGGGUAGGGCUACACACGUGCUACAAUGGGCAGUACAAAGGGUUGCCAAGCCGCGAGGUGGAGCUAAUCCCAGAAAACUGCUCGUAGUCCGGAUUGGAGUCUGCAACUCGACUCCAUGAAGUUGGAAUCGCUAGUAAUCGCGAAUCAGCAUGUCG
RNAcentral lists this ribosomal RNA (530 nucleotides) under uncultured Coxiella sp. RNAcentral describes it as "bacterial SSU rRNA". It matches the Rfam family "Bacterial small subunit ribosomal RNA", at positions 829 to 1359 of the family's 1533-position model. The record is from RNAcentral. Lineage: Bacteria; Pseudomonadati; Pseudomonadota; Gammaproteobacteria; Legionellales; Coxiellaceae.